AUUGAACGCUGGCGGCAGCCUUACACAUGCAAGUCGAACGGCAGCGCGGGAGCAAUCCUGGCGGCGAGUGGCGAACGGGUGAGUAAUACAUCGGAACGUGCCCAAUCGUGGUGGAUAACGCAGCGAAAGCUGUGCUAAUACCGCAUACGAUCUACGGAUGAAAGCAGGGGAUCGCAAGACCUUGCGCGAAUGGAGCGGCC
Molecule: ribosomal RNA, 200 nt
Filed under: uncultured bacterium
Lineage: Bacteria
Description: partial 16S ribosomal RNA
Rfam family: Bacterial small subunit ribosomal RNA
Source: RNAcentral